Molecule: ribosomal RNA, 2193 nt
Filed under: human gut metagenome
Description: bacterial LSU rRNA
Rfam family: Bacterial large subunit ribosomal RNA
Source: RNAcentral
UUAAGCUAAUAAGAGCGCAGGGAGGAUGCCUUGGCAUCAGGAGCCGAAGAAGGACGUGGUAAGCUGCGAAAAGCUACGGGGAUUGGCAAGCACGAUAUGAUCCGUAGAUAUCCGAAUGGAGCAAUCCACAUGGAGUCAAGUCCAUGUAUCAUAUACUGAAUAAAUAGGUAUAUGAGGGGAACCGCCCGAACUGAAACAUCUAAGUAGGGCGAGGAAAAGAAAUCAACCGAGAUUCUGUGAGUAGUGGCGAGCGAAAGCGGAAGAGGCUAAACCGAGAGGAGCAAUCCUUUCGGGGUUUAGGACUGCAUUUAGUACAAUGAUUGUUAACCGAACAGCAUGGGAAGGCUGAUCAGAGAAGGUGAGAAUCCUGUAGGUGAAAACGAAAGUUGACGAGCAGUAUCCGAAGUACCGCGGGGCACGUGAAAUCCCGUGGGAAGAUGGGGGGACCAUCCUCCAAGCCUAAAUACUACCUGAUGACCGAUAGCGAAAAGUACUGUGAAGGAAAGGUGAAAAGCACCCCGGGAGGGGAGUGAAAGAGAACCUGAAACCCUGUGCUUACAAGCACUUAGAGCACGUCAAAGUGUGAUAAGGUACCUAUUGUAGAAUGGUCCGGCGAGUUAUUGUAUGCAGCGAGGUUAAGUAGUUCAGCUACGGAGCCGAAGUGAGAGCGAGUGUUAACAGCACGUUCAGUUGCAUGCAAUAGACCCGAAACCGGGUGACCUAUCCAUGUCCAGGAUGAAGUGAGGGUAAAACCUCAUGGAGGUCCGAACCCACUCCCGUUGAAAUGGUAGGGGAUGAGGUGUGGAUAGCGGAGAAAUUCCAAUCGAACCCGGAUAUAGCUGGUUCUCCCCGAAAUAGUUUUAGGACUAGCCUCGUGAUUAAGAUUAUCGGAGGUAAAGCACUGAAUGGCCUAGGGGUCGAGAGAUUACCGAAGCCUAUCAAACUCUGAAUGCCGAAUAAUCAUGCACGGGAGUCAGACUGUGUGAGAUAAGUUUCAUAGUCGAAAGGGAAACAGCCCAGACCUACAGCUAAGGUCCCAAAGUACGUUUAAGUGGAAAACGAUGUGAAAUUGCGUAGACAACCAGGAUGUUGGCUUAGAAGCAGCCAUACAUUAAAAGAGUGCGUAAUAGCUCACUGGUCGAGUGACUUUGCGCGGAAAAUUUAACGGGGCUAAAACGUACACCGAAGCUUAGGCUUGUCACUAUGUGACAGGGGUAGGGGAGCGUUGAAUGAGGGGUGAAGUCGUAGCGAAAGCGACGGUGGACUUCAUUCAAGUGAGAAUGCCGGAAUGAGUAGCGAGAAUUAUGUGAGAAUCAUAAUGGCCGAAAGCCUAAGGUUUUUGGAGGAAGGUUCGUCCGCUCCAAGUAAGUCGGAAGCUAAGGUGAGGCUGAAAAGCGUAGCCGAUGCACAAACGGUUGAAAUUCCGUUACCACAGAAAGAUUUAAACUAAGGGACACUUUUGAAGAGCUGAUGCCGGGUGUUGGUUACCCCGGUCGUAAGGGAACGAAAUCAAGUAGUGAAGUCAGCGUGGAUGAAGGCGAGAAAAGCUUAGUGUAUAUCUUAUGUGUCCGUACCGCAAACCGACACAGGUAGGUAGGAAGAGAAUUCUAAGGCCAACGGGAGAAGGGUAGUUAAGGAACUCGGCAAAAUGUCCCCGUAACUUCGGAAUAAGGGGAGGUUUCUACGGAAACCCGCAGAGAAUAGUCCCAGGCAACUGUUUAUCAAAAACACAGCUCUAUGCUAAAUCGAAAGAUGACGUAUAUGGGGUGACGCCUGCCCGGUGCCGGAAGGUUAAGAGGAGGAGUGAGAGCCCUGAAUCGAAGCCCCGGUAAACGGCGGCCGUAACUAUAACGGUCCUAAGGUAGCGAAAUUCCUUGUCAGGUAAGUUCUGACCCGCACGAAUGGCGUAAUGAUCUGGGAGCUGUCUCAACUGCCCGCCCGGCGAAAUUGUAGUACCGGUGAAGAUGCCGGUUACCCGCGACUAGACGGAAAGACCCCAUGGAGCUUUACUGUAGCUUAAUAUUGGAUUUCGGCAUUUCAUGUACAGGAUAGGUGGGAGACUAGGAAACAUAGGCGUCAGCUUAUGCGGAGUCGUCCUUGGGAUACCACUCUUGGAGUGCUGAAAUUCUAACCUGCAGCCCUGAAUCGGGUUGGGGGACAUUGUUAGGUGGGCAGUUUGACUGGGGCGGUCGC